Molecule: long non-coding RNA, 1677 nt
Organism: Lagenorhynchus albirostris (white-beaked dolphin)
Lineage: Eukaryota; Metazoa; Chordata; Mammalia; Artiodactyla; Delphinidae
Exons: 2
Source: RefSeq, a predicted model, not a curated record
CGCGCCCGGACCCGCGGCGCGCCCCAGUGACGCGGUCCCGCCGCUGCCAGGCCCGCUCCGGCCGGAAGCGUGGUGACGUCACCGGGCGGCUCGGGCUCCAGCCCCGCCCCCGACUCCUCCCCGACACUGAAGCAGAAACUGCGCGCGCAGAGUAGGUUUAUUGAACUACAGACAACAUGCGGCCCCGGCAGCGGCGGGGCAGACGUGGAGGCGGCGGGAGGGGGUCCGGUUCAGGACGCAGAGCCGGGACUUAGCCACUCGGACAGAUUGGAGAUUUCCUGCAGCCACAGCGCGUCCUGCGGGAGGAAAGGGGGCCCGGGAAAAAUCAUCAUUUGUCAAAGGUGUGGCUUAGAGUCAGCUUAGAGGAGGGAAGACCUCAAGAGCCCAGAAGAAGUGAAGGCAGCGGGGAUGGAGGAGUCAGAAGUAUUCAUAAGGCCAAAUUGACAAGCCUUGGUAGUAGACUGGAUAUGAAACAUUAGAAUGGGGGGCAUCUCAAACGAAUCUCAGGUUUCAGAUGUGAAAAACUGGAUAGGUUGUGCUAGUAGUCAUGACAGAGACUGAAGAAAGAAGAGCUGAUUUUGGGUGUGUGUGCAGAGGGCAAGAUAUCAGGAAAAAGGAAAUUGAGGUACCAGUGGGACCACCAUAUGUAGCAGCCUAGUGAGCAGAUAUAUCUCCCACCUAACACUCAGGAGAGACCUGGAAUGGUCAUACCAGCUGAGGAGUCUUCUGCCCAGAGGCAGGGGUCAACGCCUGGGAUGGAAGAGAGCAGCUAGGGAGGGACUGCAGUAUGAGCACUAUUUGGGGGUGGCCAGAGGAAGCUAGUCGAAGAGAGAAGAGAUGGGGAGAACCUGAUGAGUCAUAGUCUCACAGUGCCAAGCUCUGCAAAUAGUCCAGGUGUGAUAAAGAUAAAUGCACAGUCAUCAAUUUGGUAAUUAAGAGGACUUCCCAAACAAGAGACUUUGCAGUUCAGAGGCCACAGGGAAAGCAAGUGCCCUGGGUUAGGGAGAGAAUGAAAGAAAGAGAGGGAAACAGUGUAGCUUGCUUUUUUGAGAACCUUGAUUGAGAUGUGAUGGAGAGAGAUAGGUGGGAGAAGUUCAAGAUCAUGGGAGAUAUCCUUUUGAAGAUGGACCUCCUGAGGGAAAGGAACUCAGAAAAGAAGUUGAAGGUGCAGAGAUGAUAACGUGCUACCAUGAAAGCAGUAAGGAUAAUGCCACCCCUUAGCCUGGAGGGGGUGAGUCCCUAUGCUGAUAAGGUUCUGGCAGUGGGGAGAGUACAAACUGGGUGAGUUUACUGAAAAAAAGAGAUUAAUAAGUGAAGUAGGAGGCUAAAUCAGGAGGACGAGGCUUGGUAGUUUUUUAAAAGAAUGGAGUGGCGGGCUUCCCUGGUGGUGCAGUGGUUGAGAGUCCGCCUGCCGAUGCAGGGGACACGGGUUCGUGCCCCGGUCCAGGAGAAUCCCACAUGCCACAGAGCAGCUGGGCCCGUGAGCCAUGGCCGCUGAGCCUGUGCGUCCGGAGCCUCUGCUCCGCAGCGGGAGAGGCCACAACGGUGAGAGGCCCUCGUACCACAAAAAAAAAAAAAAGGAUGGAGUGGCCACUGAGGAGAAGGCCAGGAAGACAAUGGAAAGAAUUGACAAACUGAAGGCUCCUCAGGGAAUGGACCACAGGUGUACAGUGGCAU